This 72-nucleotide transfer RNA is filed under the name Marmota monax (woodchuck). It matches the Rfam family "tRNA". Rfam says of the family: Transfer RNA (tRNA) molecules are approximately 80 nucleotides in length. Their secondary structure includes four short double-helical elements and three loops (D, anti-codon, and T loops). The record is from Rfam by way of RNAcentral. Lineage: Eukaryota; Metazoa; Chordata; Mammalia; Rodentia; Sciuridae.
GGUGCUGUAGCUCAGUGGUAGAGCACUCACCUGGCACGUGGGAGGCCCUGGGUUCAAUCCUCAGCACCACAU